This 623-nucleotide ribosomal RNA is filed under the name Basidiomycota sp. 1 HFP-2013. Its description in RNAcentral is "eukaryotic LSU rRNA". It matches the Rfam family "Eukaryotic large subunit ribosomal RNA", at positions 48 to 653 of the family's 3401-position model. Lineage: Eukaryota; Fungi; Basidiomycota. The record is from RNAcentral.
UAGCGGAGGAGAAAGAAACUACCUUAGGAUUCCCCUUAGUAACCGGCGAGGUGAACCGGGGAUGAGCUCAAAUUUUAAAAUCUGGGCGUCUUUCAGGCGUCCGAGUUGUAAUCUAUAGAGGCGUUUUCCGCGCGGGACCGCGUCCAAGUCUCUUGGAAUAGAGUAUCAAAGAGGGUGACAAUCCCGUACUUGACGCGACAACCGGUGCUCUGUGAUACGUUCUCAAUGAGUCGAGUUGUUUGGGAAUGCAGCUCUAAAUGGGUGGUAAAUUCCAUCUAAGGCUAAAUAUUGGCGAGAGACCGAUAGCGAACAAGUACCGUGAGGGAAAGAUGAAAAGCACUUUGGAAAGAGAGUUAAACAGCACGUGAAAUUGUUAAAAGGGAAACGAUUGAAGUCAGUCGUGUGAAAGGUAUUCAGCCGUCUCUGGCGGUGUAUUUGCCUUUCACGGGUCAACAUCAGUUUGAUCCGGUAGAAAAAGGCGGGAGGAAGGUGGCACCCUCGGGUGUGUUAUAGCCUCCUGUCAUAUGUGCCGGACCAGACUGAGGAACGCAGCUUGCCGCAAGGCCGGGGUUCGCCCACGUACAAGCUUAGGAUGUUGACAUAAUGGCUUUAAACGACCCGUC